This 253-nucleotide ribosomal RNA is filed under the name uncultured bacterium. RNAcentral's name for it is "partial 16S ribosomal RNA". It matches the Rfam family "Bacterial small subunit ribosomal RNA", at positions 524 to 776 of the family's 1533-position model. The record is from RNAcentral.
UACGUAGGGAGCAAGCGUUGUCCGGAAUCAUUGGGCGUAAAGCGCGCGUAGGCGGCCCUGUAAGUCCGCUGUGAAAGUCAAAGGCUCAACCUUUGAAAGCCGGUGGAUACUGCAGGGCUAGAGUCCGGAAGAGGCGAGUGGAAUUCCUGGUGUAGCGGUGGAAUGCGCAGAUAUCAGGAGGAACACCAAUAGCGAAGGCAGCUCGCUGGGACGGUACUGACGCUGAGGCGCGAAAGCGUGGGGAGCGAACAGG